RNAcentral lists this ribosomal RNA (863 nucleotides) under uncultured bacterium. RNAcentral describes it as "bacterial SSU rRNA". It matches the Rfam family "Bacterial small subunit ribosomal RNA", at positions 50 to 918 of the family's 1533-position model. The record is from RNAcentral.
UACACAUGCAGUCGACGGUAGCACAGAGGAGCUUGCUCCUUGGGUGACGAGUGGCGGACGGGUGAGUAAUGUCUGGAAACUGCCCGAUGGAGGGGGAUAACUACUGGAAACGGUAGCUAAUACCGCAUAACGUCGCAAGACCAAAGAGGGGGACCUUCGGGCCUCUUGCCAUCGGAUGUGCCCAGAUGGGACUAGCUAGUAGGUGGGGUAACGGCUCACCUAGGCGACGAUCCCUAGCUGGUCUGAGAGGAUGACCAGCCACACUGGAACUGAGACACGGUCCAGACUCCUACGGGAGGCAGCAGUGGGGAAUAUUGCACAAUGGGCGCAAGCCUGAUGCAGCCAUGCCGCGUGUAUGAAGAAGGCCUUCGGGUUGUAAAGUACUUUCAGCGAGGAGGAAGGUGUUGUGGUUAAUAACCGCAGCAAUUGACGUUACUCGCAGAAGAAGCACCGGCUAACUCCGUGCCAGCAGCCGCGGUAAUACGGAGGGUGCAAGCGUUAAUCGGAAUUACUGGGCGUAAAGCGCACGCAGGCGGUCUGUCAAGUCGGAUGUGAAAUCCCCGGGCUCAACCUGGGAACUGCAUCCGAAACUGGCAGGCUAGAGUCUUGUAGAGGGGGGUAGAAUUCCAGGUGUAGCGGUGAAAUGCGUAGAGAUCUGGAGGAAUACCGAUGGCGAAAGCGGCCCCCUGGACAAAGACUGACGCUCACGUGCGAAAGCGUGGGGGGCAAACAGGAUUAGAUACCCUGGUAGUCCACGCCGUAACGAUGUCGACUUGGAGUUGUGCCCUUGAGCGUGCUUCCGGAGCUAACGCGUUAAGUCGACCGCUGGGAGUACGCGCAGUAAACUCAAUGAAUUGACGGGG